UAAGGAGGGUGCGAGCGUUGUCCGGAAUCACUGGGCGUAAAGGGCGCGUAGGCGGCGCGGUAAGUCGGAUGUGAAAUCCCGGGGCUCAACUCCGGGGCUGCAUCCGAGACUGUCGUGCUCGAGCGUGGUAGAGGCGAGUGGAAUUCCCGGUGUAGCGGUGGAAUGCGUAGAGAUCGGGAAGAACACCAGUGGCGAAGGCGGCUCGCUGGGCCAUUGCUGACGCUGAGGCGCGAAAGCGUGGGGAGCAAACAGG
RNAcentral lists this ribosomal RNA (253 nucleotides) under uncultured bacterium. RNAcentral describes it as "partial 16S ribosomal RNA". It matches the Rfam family "Bacterial small subunit ribosomal RNA", at positions 524 to 776 of the family's 1533-position model. The record is from RNAcentral.